GGGUUAAGUCCCGCAACGAGCGCAACCCUAUGUUAGUUGCCAUCAUUCAGUUGGGCACUCUAGCGAGACUGCCGGUAAUAAACCGGAGGAAGUGGGAUGACGUCAAAUCAUCAUGCCCCUUAUGACCUGGGCUACACACGUGCUACAAUGGUUGGUACAACGAGUUGCGAGUCGGUGACGGCGAGCUAAUCUCUUAAAGCCAAUCUCAGUUCGGAUUGUAGGCUGCAACUCGCCUACAUGAAGUCGGAAUCGCUAGUAAUCGCGGAUCAGCACGCCGCGGUGAAUACGUUCCCGGGCCUU
This 300-nucleotide ribosomal RNA is filed under the name uncultured Streptococcus sp. RNAcentral's name for it is "bacterial SSU rRNA". It matches the Rfam family "Bacterial small subunit ribosomal RNA", at positions 1077 to 1382 of the family's 1533-position model. Lineage: Bacteria; Bacillati; Bacillota; Bacilli; Lactobacillales; Streptococcaceae. The record is from RNAcentral.